CGUACAAGGUACCAACUCGGACACAGAGGUUCUUCAAUAUUUCCUUUGGGAAACUAAGUGUCUGAUCUCCAUUGUGUUUGUGCUCGUAGAUCCCGGUUCUUCACUUAGUGGAAUCUGGGAGUUGUAAAACUCCUCCAUGUUUUGUUUGAAGUGUACCUAUUCAUGGAGACAAGGCAGAGAUCAAGUGCAUGGGCCCUGUUGGUGGAAAACACCAACAGAACCAAAAGUGUAUUUGUUCUUCUCUAACCUUAAGCAUAGUGAGCAAGGCAAAGUUGAUGGAUCAUGAGUGUAGCAUUUAAAACAUUUGUUAGAUCAGAUGGCUCAACCUAAUGGAAAGAUAAUCUAUCUAUAUUUAUGUUUUGUUUAUAUCUUCCAAAGAUUGAAUGUGCAAUACUUUAGCUUAUAUGAUUAGGAGUGUGGGAUCACGAAGGUAGUACUAAGAACAAAGAUUAAAGGACUAAACAUGCUGAAUUAAUUGAGUUGGUUAAUUUGGAGUUAUAAAUCAUACAUGUUUGUCUCUUUUAUUCAUGUGUAUGCCAGAACCAAGGAGAACUUAUAAAAGUGAUAAUCAAGUACUUUAAGAUGUUAUUGAAGAGUGAUGGUAUAGUAUCACCUUGUGGAAGCUUUCCUUUCUUAG
Molecule: long non-coding RNA, 637 nt
Filed under: Sorghum bicolor (sorghum)
Lineage: Eukaryota; Viridiplantae; Streptophyta; Magnoliopsida; Poales; Poaceae
Description: long non-coding RNA (SBIC_LNC000714)
Source: RNAcentral